This 247-nucleotide ribosomal RNA is filed under the name uncultured Actinomycetes bacterium. Its description in RNAcentral is "uncultured actinobacterium partial 16S ribosomal RNA". It matches the Rfam family "Bacterial small subunit ribosomal RNA", at positions 28 to 276 of the family's 1533-position model. The record is from RNAcentral. Lineage: Bacteria; Bacillati; Actinomycetota; Actinomycetes.
GACGAACGCUGGCGGCGUGCUUAACACAUGCAAGUCGAGCGGUAAGGCCCUUUCGGGGGUACACGAGCGGCGAACGGGUGAGUAACACGUGGGUGACCUGCCCUCAGCUCUGGGAUAAGCCUGGGAAACUGGGUCUAAUACUGGAUAUGACUCCACGGUGCAUGUCGUGGGGUGGAAAGCCUUGUGCGGCUGAGGAUGGGCCCGCGGCCUAUCAGCUUGUUGGUGGGGUGAUGGCCUACCAAGGCGA